GGGGGGGCAAGCGUUUGUUCGGAUUUACUGGGCGUAAAGGGCUCGUAGGCGGCCACCUAAGUCGGUUGUGAAAUCCCUCGGCUCAACCGGGGAACUGCGACCGAUACUGGGUGGCUUGAAGCCGGGAGAGGGAUGCGGAAUUCCAGGUGUAGCGGUGAAAUGCGUAGAUAUCUGGAGGAACACCCGUGGCGAAGGCGGCAUCCUGGACCGGUCUUGACGCUGAGGAGCGAAAGCUAGGGUAGCAAACGGGAUUAGAUACCCCGGUAGUCCUAGCCCUAAACGAUGAAUGCUUGGUGUGGCGGGUAUCGAUCCCCUGCCGUGCCGUAGCUAACGCGUUAAGCAUUCCGCCUGGGGAGUACGGUCGCAAGGCUG
Molecule: ribosomal RNA, 372 nt
Filed under: uncultured organism
Description: partial 16S ribosomal RNA
Rfam family: Bacterial small subunit ribosomal RNA
Source: RNAcentral